UACGGAGGGGGCUAGCGUUGUUCGGAAUUACUGGGCGUAAAGCGCGCGUAGGCGGACCUGCAAGUCGGGGGUGAAAGCCCGAGGCUCAACCUCGGAACUGCCUUCGAUACUGCGGGUCUCGAGUCCGGGAGAGGUGAGUGGAAUUCCUAGUGUAGAGGUGAAAUUCGUAGAUAUUCGCAAGAACACCAGUGGCGAAGGCGGCUCACUGGCCCGGUACUGACGCUGAGGCACGAAAGCGUGGGGAGCAACAGG
RNAcentral lists this ribosomal RNA (252 nucleotides) under uncultured bacterium. Its description in RNAcentral is "partial 16S ribosomal RNA". It matches the Rfam family "Bacterial small subunit ribosomal RNA", at positions 524 to 775 of the family's 1533-position model. The record is from RNAcentral.